Felis catus (domestic cat) is the source of this 4683-nucleotide long non-coding RNA. RefSeq lists it as uncharacterized. Lineage: Eukaryota; Metazoa; Chordata; Mammalia; Carnivora; Felidae. The transcript is spliced from 3 exons. The record is from RefSeq and is a predicted model, not a curated record.
GAGAUCGUGACCUGAGCCAAAGUCAGAUGCUUAACUGACUGAGCCACCCAGGUGCCCCCGACACUGAUUAUUUUCUGGUUGUUUGUUUUGUUUUGUUUGUUUGUUUGGAUAGUAGUAAUUCCUAAUCUCCUAGGUGUUUGUACCUACUACCCACCCCCCACCUAGCCCUGACACUCUGCCUCAAGUCACUUGUGUCCUCAGGCCGAGAGGGUCACAUCCUCUGGGCACAGACAAUCAUUUCUGUAUCCCCUUCAGUGAGCAGCACACUUGUCAUGUUGAACGAUCCCUGGUUUCCAGAAGAUUACACUCGGCAGGGGGAAGUAAAAAAUUUACAUAUUCUGGAAAGGCCAAGUUGGGCGUGGCUGGGACUACCUUAGGGCCACCGACAGGGGGUGGCCACAGUAGGCUCCCUCCUUCUGGUCUCCACAUUUCUUCACCGCUCUCGGAGAUAAAUAGACUGCUUAGAAGGUCGGCACAAGGUCUGACGCACCCCACUGCCCCAGCCUGGGUUCCGGGGAACCCCUUCCUGCCCUCCUGUCUCAGGGUCUCUGAACACCCAGGUCUCCUGAGCACACGCUCUGUGCCAUCCUGGCUUUCAAGGCCCAGCUCAGGCACCUCACCAGCACCCUUUCCCCAGCCGGAAGCCCUCACACUGUCCCUCCAGCUCCCACGGGCCCAUCCCAGCUUUCUGCUGUGGUACAGGGAGAAGAGCAUGGGACAGAAAUUUGAAGAUCUGAGUCUGAUCCUGGCUGUCUCUCCAGCUGGCUUUUCGUCGUGGCUGACAGAUUCCUCCUCGAAGAGCCAACCCAAAUGCUGUCUCCUCUGACGCCUCUCGCUCUCCGCUGCGAGCCGGCCUUCCCCCGAACCCCAGCGACUCCGGGGUGCUAUCUCGAUGAUCCCAGAAUCAACAGCAUUUUGUCUCCUCCGCCAGACUGUGGGUCCCGGGGAGCACAUCACCUCCUCCUCCUCCUCAUCGCUGACACCCCAGUGCACCUGCCAGCUGUUUGCAGACAAGAGAAGGUGAAGUCAGUGGGAUUAAACACAAGGAGAGCAUUGUGCGGAUGGGACAGUCAAGAUGUUCUUCCGUUUCAGCGGUGCAACAUAGGCUUUGUGACCCAGCUGGGGGCAAGGGAGGCCAGGAUCGCAGGCUGAUGCUGUGCUGUGCAACCCGACAUAUGGGAAAACAGACACAAUGAAGCAAUCUGCCCCAGAAGGGUCCCAGGCCUCAGGAAUGCGGGCACAGAGGGGCCUGGGGCAGGGAGACUCUUGGGAAGGAGCGGGUAAGUGGAAAUCAGCGCUGUGCCACACGCGAGAGAGCCUGGGGGAGAACCGCAGACUUGAGCAGUUUCCCCAAACUGCCUGGGCAUUAGAAUCACCUGGAGGCUUUUACCUGUCUUGUUAUGAAAGAGUUUAUUUUCUUUCUGUAGAGCCAUACCUAAAAAAAGAUGGGUAGUAACAUUAAAAAAAAAAAAACAAAAGCAAAAAACAAAAAACAACCCCAGCCCAGCUGCCAGGGUUUAUCCGUGUUACCGGAGGUGCACAUGAGGUUACCUUGAGGUCCUCAAGGCAGAAUGAGCAUGUGCGGUACAGGCAGAGGCCAGGAGCAUCGGUUGAAAGUGUGUUCAGGGAGGAGGACCCGGUCUUUGGCAACUCAGGAGACCACAGGCGUGUGUGGUCCACAGGGGCCGGCAGCGACAGAUGUGAGACUCUACCACGUGGGAUGGAAGUCAGCACAGACGCGAAGUCCCCACGGGUGGACCUCUAAGGUCCAAAGAUGGGGGCUGAGGAGGAUAUGGGGAACCAGGUUCCAAGUCGCCGUCCAAGAGGAGUGGAGGAGAGAAGGCUUUUGUCUGUUAGUUGGAACCGUCGACUCCUGUGCUCUUGAACCAGCAUCUCCAGGGGCAAGGCCCUUGGUUCCCAGCGGAGCCAGCCUGGCACCGGUCCGAGGACAGGUGUGGUCAGCCACCGGGAUGGAUGAGGAGAGCGCUGUCAGGAGAUAAAGCUCUAAGCCAUGGACCCAGAUCUCCCAAGGAGUCCCGGGUGAUCUCCAGCUACUUAUUCUGUACUCCUCUUCGUCUCCAUUUCUUCAUGUGAUCAAAGUGAGAGACCAUAACACCUCUCCUACAGCUUUGAUGGAGGGAUUACAUGAGAUCAUGUAGAUGUUGGUGUUUGUUGGCCCACUAACCCUGGCAGGUGGACACACGGGGCUAGAGACCCAUUGCCUGUGUUAAUCAUCAAACCUCAGGAGAUCGGUGUGUGUUUAUGAUUCGUAAGGGGCGUCGUGAGGUAGGAGUGGGUUGAUGGCCCAGGCCUUGAUCCCAGAUGCCCACACCCUCUCAGAUGACACUGGCAAAGUCCACCUGGUUUGGGUCCCCCAUGCCAUUGGGAGCAUGUCUACUCCCCUACCAUGGUGGGGACCCACGCUAAGACUGGGGUGUCUCAGAUCGAAGAUUGCCUGUUUGACUGGCACCUGUUGCCCUCUGCGUGGCCUUCUCGGACCCCAGUGACCUUGGGAGAAUCCCUUGUUGCUCUGUCUGCAGCUUCGCAGUAGGAGUUGCAGGAAAUCGUUCGGGGUCUCUGCAGCAGCCCCAGGGCCUUUCAGUAGAGUCAAGCAUCACUGGCCUUGUCGAGACCCUUGGUGGGCACCUUGGUGGCAGGAGUAUGUCAACUGGGGGCCAGAGGCAGGCCCGGCCACCGCCUGGCUGAUGGCUCAGAAGGAGCAGCUCAGGAACCCUCUGUGCCCAGAGGACUUUGACGUCUUUUCAUUCCAACGCCGAGGACAGCCUCGUUCAUCUAGGAAGCUCUCGGGACUGAAGGUGGUCAUUCCUCCUGCCCACCCACCACCACCCUAGCAUUCGUGGAAAACGCUCUUUGGAAGAGAAGGGUUUUUCCCCUUAGGAGGUCGCCGAGAGACAUCGGAACACAGGCAACCAGAGAAAGAUCUUGGAACCGGGGACUCGGGAGACCUGGGCCCUAACCCUUGCCAGAUGACCUUGAAACAAAGGGCUCGUCUUGGAAAGUGAGGAGGACGCCAGCCGGCCUGGCAAAACCACAGGUGGUUGUGAAGUCAGUGGAAAUGUGUUAGAAGGUGGAACCCACCUGGGAGGUGUGAAACGCUCUCCAAACGGCAGGGGACACCACUGUCCUCGCCUCUGGCUUGUUGCCAGCCACGUCCUACUCACCCUUGCCUGGCACCUGUGCCAGUCCUCCUGGGCUUUGGCUCCUGUGGAUCCUCCACGUGGAGCACUGAACAACACUGUGAACAUAAGUGAGGCAUACAGGGCUCUUGAAGAUGUCAAAAUUGAGCUCGUGCUCUUCUGCCAAUGAUGCUGCCUCUCGAGUCUUCUCCACCCGAGGAACAGAAUCUCCAUCGAGGGAGCCACACUGCACCAGCAAGCUGGACAUCCAUUCUAGUAGAUUCCAGGGCCAUGGCUUACUUUUCCCUCCACUGGGCCGGCAGGAAGUGUGCUGAGCAGAGAGUCAGAGAGGGGCUUGUUGGGGGAAAAGGGAGGAAGAAGAGGAAGGAGGGAGGGAGGAGGCCCCGCGCGACAUGACCUCUAAGGUCCAGGCAAUCAGGAAUAAAGGAGUAAGAGCUGAAGGGAGGGACAGUCCCCAGCCCCCCAACCUGAACCCUACAGCAAAGAACUGCUUAAACCUUCAGGGUUUGGUUUGGGGAGGGCAAGGAGCCAGUAUCUGGAACUGGUAGAGAAAUGGCCAACGUACUGUUCCAUUGUACCCAUCACCCCUAGGCGUUAGCCGUGCUCUCCCGCAGAUCGCAGAUCCCCGCAGGGUGCACCUUGCCUCGCCCCUGCCUACCUCGAUAGAGCCAUCCAGAGUGGGCUGUGCCCCCCCACCUCCCAGCCUGGCUUCGUCUGGCUGGUGCCUUUGUCCAGAGCGCUCUGCCCCCUGCCCGCCGUCCUCACCGUCAGGUCUCAUUCACACGACAUGCUAACUGCUGUAAAGCGUACAAUUGAAUGUCAUUUAGAACAUAUACAACGCUGGGCGCCUGAGUGGCUCAUCUGACUUCGGCUCAGGUCAUGAUCUCACAGUUCGUGAGUUCGAGUCCCACAUCGGGUGAGCUCAAGCCCCAUCUCGGGUGAAAACUCUCUCUCUCACCCCCUCUGCCCCUCUUGGGAUUCUCUCUCUCUCUCUCUCUCUCUCUCUCUGUGCCUCUCACUCACCUGUGCCCCCCCCAAAAGAACAUUUACAAUGUUGUACAGCCAUCCCCUCUCCCUAGUUCCAAGACAUUUUCAUCUUCCCAAAAGGAAACCCUGUACCCCAUUAAGCAGUUACUCCCCAUUUCCGCCUCCGGGAGUCUGCUUUCUGCCUCUAUGAAUUUUCCUUUCUGGCCAUUUCGCUGCUAUGAAAGUUCACGUACGAGCAUGUGUCCGAAUACCUAUUUUCAGUUCUUUUGGGCAUAUACCUAGGAGUGAAUUGCUGGGUCAUGCGGUCAUUCUGCGCUUAAUUUUCUGAGGAAUCGUCCCUUUGUUUUUGACGUCUUCCUUACCCCUAGGUGUCUGUACCUGUGCUGUCCCACACCGUAGCCCCCAGCCCUGUGUGGUUGUUUCCAUUUAAAUCGGUGAAAAUGGGGACGCCUGGGUGGCUCAGUCGGUUGAGCGUCCGACUUCAGCUCAGGUCACCAUCUCACGGUCCGUGAGUUCGAGCCCCGCGUCGGGCUCUGGG